CGGGUCUUAAUNGACUUGGUAACGCAGCUAACGCGUGAAGUAGACCGCCUGGGGAGUACGGUCGCAAGAUUAAAACUCAAAGGAAUNGACGGGGACCCGCACAAGCGGUGGAUGAUGUGGANUAAUUCGAUGCAACGCGAAAAACCUUACCUACCCUUGACAUGGAAGGAAUCCUCGAGAGAUCGGGGAGUGCCCGAAAGGGAACCUUUACACAGGUGCUGCAUGGCUGUCGUCAGCUCGUGUCGUGAGAUGUUGGGUUAAGUCCCGCAACGAGCGCAACCCUUGUCAUUAGUUGCUACGAAAGAGCACUCUAAUGAGACUGCCGGUGACAAACCGGAGGAAGGUGGGGAUGACGUCAAGUCCUCAUGGCCCUUAUGGGUAGGGCUUCACACGUCAUACAAUGGUACAUACAGAGGGCCGCCAACCCGCGAGGGGGAGCUAAUCCCAGAAAGUGUAUCGUAGUCCGGAUUGUAGUCUGCAACUCGACUGCAUGAAGUUGGAAUCGCUAGUAAUCGCGGAUCAGCAUGUCGCGGUGAAUACGUUCCCGGGUCUUGUACACACCGCCCGUCACACCAUGGGAGCGGGUUUUACCAGAAGUAGGUAGCUUAACCGCAAGGAGGGCGCUUACCACGGUAGGAUUCGUGACUGGGGUGAAGUCGUAACAAGGUACC
This 671-nucleotide ribosomal RNA is filed under the name uncultured bacterium. Its description in RNAcentral is "bacterial SSU rRNA". It matches the Rfam family "Bacterial small subunit ribosomal RNA", at positions 824 to 1500 of the family's 1533-position model. The record is from RNAcentral.